Molecule: non-coding RNA, 310 nt
Organism: Cinara cedri
Lineage: Eukaryota; Metazoa; Arthropoda; Insecta; Hemiptera; Aphididae
Source: the annotation of a GenBank genome assembly
AGAACAACACAAAUGCGUCGAACCGAUAACAACCUCAAAUACCGUAUAUCUAUUAUAAUACAGGUACUUAAAACGUGUAAAUCGGUUGUCACAUUUUUAUUAUAGUAAUCUAACUUUACAUGUACAUGCACGCAAAUACGAAAUACCUAAAUAAUCUAAAUAAUACAAACGUAGGUAUAGCUGUGUUAUUAUACAAUGUGGUCUAAUACCCCUCCCCCUCCGACAAAUCAACCAAUUUAUGUGGCACCAAUUUUCGGUGAUAUUGAAUGGGUAAAAGUCGAGACGGUAGAACAGAAAAUAAUUUAAUUUA